UUCUAUUUUUCAACCGGGUACUCGGACUUUUUGAGUGCAUCGGUAUUAGUUCCGGUACCAGUUCUCCAAAAAUAAAAUAACUGUUCCGGUUCGGUUUCGAUUUUUCGUUUAAAAAAUAAAAUAAAAUAAAGGUAUCGGUUCCACACAAUUUUGGUGCCGGUUUCACCAUCAAAAGUUGGCCCACCGACUUCACACAAUCCGUUCAAAAUGUAUGCC
Cinara cedri is the source of this 216-nucleotide non-coding RNA. The record is from the annotation of a GenBank genome assembly. Lineage: Eukaryota; Metazoa; Arthropoda; Insecta; Hemiptera; Aphididae.